UUUUCUUUAUCCAGUUGACCGUUGAUGGGCAUACAGCACUUUUACAAUUAGAAAAAAAUUAAAAGCAUAAAAACUAUGAUAAGCAGCCGGGUGCGGUGGCUCAUGCCUGUAAUCCCAGCACUUUGGGAGGCCAAGGCAGGCGGAUCACAAGGUCAGGAGAUCGAGACCAUCCUGGCUAACACGGUGAAACCCCGUCUCUACUAAAAAUACAAAAAAUUAGCCAGGUGUGGUGGUGGGCACCUGUAGUCCCAGCUACUUGGGAGGCCAAGGCAGGAGAAUGGUGUGAACCCAGGAGGUGGAGCUUGCAGUGAGCCGAGAUCACACCACCGCACUCCAGCCUGGGUGACAGAGCGAGACUCUGUUUCCAAAAAAAAAAAAAAAAAAAAAACUAUGAAACUAUGAUAAGCCUUUAACAUAAGAAAUUCCCAGGCAUUCCAGAGUAGCAUGAUUGACUGUAAAGGAAGCCUCUUGACUCUGGGUCUCCAGGAGCUGGGUUUGAAAGCAGGACGAGGUGGUGUGUGGCCUCCGUGCAACCUACAGAACCUCACGACACUAUCCUAUAUGGCUUGACUGCGCUGUCCCGUGGGACCUGAAGACACUACUCUUCCUUGUGCUUUUUCCAUACUCACAUCCAAGUGCCGUGUGAUUCCAGAUCUGUUGAGAGAUGUGUAUUCAGUGAUGCAAAUUGUAAAGUACAAGAGAAGCAGGACUGAGAAGCGAGGAGGCCGGGCACAGCGGCCCACACCUGUAAUCCCAGAACUUUUGGAGGUGGAGGUGGAAUGAUCACUUGCAUCCAGCAGUUCGAGACCAGCCUGGGCAACAGAGCAAGACCCCAUCUCUACAAAAAGUAAAAAUUAGCCGGGUGUGGUGGCGCAUGCCUGUGGUCCCAGCUACUCAAGAGGCUGAGGUGGGAGGAUCCCUUGAGCCUGGGAGUUCGAGGCUGCAGUGAGCCAUGAUUGCACCACAGCACUCCAGCCUGGGUGACAGAAUGAGACUCUGUCUGAAACUAAGAGGAGAAAAAAAGGAGAGAAGGAAUAAAAUAUUACUUUUUUUUGUUUUUUUGAGACAGAUUCUCACUCUGUCACUCAGGCUGGAGUGCAGUGGCGUGAUCUCGGCUCACUGCAACCUCCACCUCCCAGGUUCAAGUGAUUCUCCUGCCUCAGCCUCAUGAGUAGCUGGGGUUACAGGCACCCACCACCACACCCGGCUAAUUUUUGUAUUUUUAGUAGAGAUGGGGUUUCAUCAUGUGGGCCAGGCUGGUCUUGAACUCCUGACCUCAGGUGAUCCACGCACCUCAGCCUUCCAAAGUGGUGGGAUUACAGGCGUGAGCCACCGCACCCGGCUGGAAUGAAAUAGAACAUUUUUAAAAUGUAUUAAGCUUCUACUGUGUGCUACUCUUAUUCACUCAGGUCCGACCCCUUAGUCCUUUAACUACCUGGGGCUUCCUUUUCUUUCUUUUCUUGUAGCAGUGGAGGAAAAUGAGGCUGGUUAAGUGAAGUGAGCUCUGAGACCUUGUGUGACUUUGUUUUCAUUGUAUCCAUUUGCAUUAAGUGCAGUGAGCUCUGGCGCAAACCACCCUCUGCCCCGUCUGUUGGAUCCAUUUGCAGAGGCCUUGGCAAGGGCUCGCGUGAUCCCCGUGCUGCUCACCCAGGCCUGACCUGCGGAGGGGGCGGAAGCCUGCAGCCAGUGCCUGUCUCCUCCCUCAGGCCACUACUACGUGCCCCUCCUGAGAGCGGAAGAGACUUCUUCUCCAGUCAUCGGGGAGCUGUGGUCCCCAGACCAGACGGCCGAGGCCUCUCACGUCAGCCACUAUGGAGGCAGCCCCAGAGACCCGGUGCUGACCCUGAGAGCCUUCGCAGGGCCCCUGAGUCCAGCCAAGGCAGAAGAUUUUCGCAAGCUCUGGAAAACUCCACCUCGAGAGAAAGCAGGCUUCCUUCACCACGUCAAGAAGUCGGACCCGGAAAGAGGCUUUGAGAGAGUGGGAAGGGAGCUAGCUCAUGAGCUGGGGUAUCCCUGGGUUGAAUACUGGGAAUUUCUGGGCUGUUUUGUUGAUCUGUCUUCCCAGGAAGGCCUGCAAAGACUAGAAGAAUAUCUCACACAGCAGGAAAUAGGCAAAAAGGCUCAACAAGAAACAGGAGAACGGGAAGCCUCCUGCCGAGAUAAAGCCACCACGUCUGGCAGCAAUUCCAUUUCCGUGAGGGCGUUUCUAGAUGAAGAUGACAUGAGCUUGGAAGAAAUAAAAAAUCGGCAAAAUGCAGCUCGAAAUAACAGCCCGCCCACAGUCGGUGCUUUUGGACAUACGAGGUGCAGCACCUUCCCCUUGGAGCAGGAGGCAGACCUCAUAGAAGCCGCCGAGCCGGGCGGUCCACACAGCAGCAGAAAUGGGCUCUGCCAUCGUCUGAGUCACAGCAGGACCCUGGCGGGCAAGAGACCAAAGGCCCCCCGUGGGGAGGAAGCCCGUCUGCCAUCUGUCUCUGAUUUGACUGUUGCGUUUGAUAAACUGAAUUUGCAAAAUGUAGGAAGUAGCGUUUCCAAGACACCAGAUGAAAAUACAAAAACUAAAGAUCAGAUCCUGACUUCAAGAAUCAAUGCAGUAGAAAGAGACUUGUUAGAGCCUUCUCCCGCAGACCAACUCGGGAAUGGCCACAGGAGGACAGAAAGUGAAAUGUCAGCCAGGAUCGCUAAAAUGUCCUUGAGUCCCAGCAGCCCCAGGCACGAGGAUCAG
This 2725-nucleotide small RNA is filed under the name Pan troglodytes (chimpanzee). RNAcentral describes it as "retained intron". The record is from RNAcentral. Lineage: Eukaryota; Metazoa; Chordata; Mammalia; Primates; Hominidae.